RNAcentral lists this ribosomal RNA (404 nucleotides) under uncultured bacterium. Its description in RNAcentral is "bacterial SSU rRNA". It matches the Rfam family "Bacterial small subunit ribosomal RNA", at positions 355 to 776 of the family's 1533-position model. The record is from RNAcentral.
UGGGGGAUAUUGCACAAUGGGGGAAACCCUGAUGCAGCGACGCCGCGUGAGUGAAGGAGUAUUUCGGUAUGUAAAGCUCUAUCAGCAGGGAAGAAGAUGACAGUACCUGACCAAGAAGCCCCGGCUAACUACGUGCCAGCAGCCGCGGUAAUACGUAGGGGGCAAGCGUUAUCCGGAUUUACUGGGUGUAAAGGGAGCGUAGACGGCAUGGUAAGUCUGGAGUGAAAGCCCGCGGCCCAACCGCGGGACUGCUCUGGAAACUGCUAAGCUAGAGUACAGGAGGGGCAGGCGGAAUUCCUGGUGUAGCGGUGAAAUGCGUAGAUAUCAGGAGGAACACCGGCGGCGAAGGCGGCCUGCUGGACUGCAACUGACGUUGAGGCUCGAAAGCGUGGGGAGCAAACAGG